Molecule: ribosomal RNA, 440 nt
Filed under: uncultured bacterium
Lineage: Bacteria
Description: bacterial SSU rRNA
Rfam family: Bacterial small subunit ribosomal RNA
Source: RNAcentral
CCUACGGGAGGCUGCAGUUCGGAAUAUUCGGCAAUGCGCGCAAGCGCGACCGAGCGACGCCGCGUGCGGGAUGAAGGCCCUCUGGGUUGUAAACCGCUGUCACAGGUGAACAAAUCACGCAGACUAACACUCUGUCGUGUUGAGUUAAGCCUGAGAGGAAGCCCCCGCUAAUCACGUGCCAGCAGCGGCGGUAAUACGUGAGGGGCUAACGUUGUUCGGUGUCACUGGGCUUAAAGGGCGCGUAGGCGGCUGCGUAAGUAAGGUGUGAAAGCCCUCGGCUUACCCGGGGAAUUGCGCCUUAAACUGCGUGGCUUGAGGACCAGAGGGGUAGGAGGAACUCCAGGUGUAGCGGUGAAAUGCGUAGAUAUCUGGGGGAAGGCCGGCGGCGAAGGCGUCCUACUGGCUGGUUCCUGACGCUGAGGCGCGAAAGCGUGGGGAGC